GGGCGUAAAGAGCUCGUAGGCGGUUUGUCGCGUCUGCUGUUAAAACCCGAGGCUCAACCUCGGGCCUGCAGUGGGUACGGGCAGACUAGAGUGCGGUAGGGGAGAUUGGAAUUCCUGGUGUAGCGGUGGAAUGCGCAGAUAUCAGGAGGAACACCGAUGGCGAAGGCAGAUCUCUGGGCCGUUACUGACGCUGAGGAGCGAAAGCAUGGGGAGCGAACAGGAUUAGAUACCCUGGUAGUCCAUGCCGUAAACGUUGGGAACUAGAUGUAGGGGCCAUUCCACGGUUUCUGUGUCGCAGCUAACGCAUUAAGUUCCCCGCCUGGGGAGUACGGCCGCAAGGCUAAAACUCAAAGGAAUUGACGGGGGCCCGCACAAGCGGCGGAGCAUGCGGAUUAAUUCGAUGCAACGCGAAGAACCUUACCAAGACUUGACAUAUACGAGAACGGGCCAGAAAUGGUCAACUCUUUGGACACUCGUAAACAGGUGGUGCAUGGUUGUCGUCAGCUCGUGUCGUGAGAUGUUGGGUUAAGUCCCGCAACGAGCGCAACCCUCGUUCUAUGUUGCCAGCACGUUAUGGUGGGAACUCAUAGGAGACUGCCGGGGUCAACUCGGAGGAAGGUGGGGAUGACGUCAAAUCAUCAUGCCCCUUAUGUCUUGGGCUUCACGCAUGCUACAAUGGCCGAUACAAGGGCUGCAAUACCGUAAGGUGGAGCGAAUCCCAAAAAGUCGGUCUCAGUUCGGAUUGAGGUCUGCAACUCGACCUCAUGAAGUCGGAGUCGCUAGUAAUCGCAGAUCAGCACGCUGCGUGAUUACGUUCCCGGCCUUGUACCCACCGCCGUCAAGUCAUGAAGUCGGUAACACCGAAGCAGU
This 870-nucleotide ribosomal RNA is filed under the name Leifsonia sp. DAB_ATA115. Its description in RNAcentral is "bacterial SSU rRNA". It matches the Rfam family "Bacterial small subunit ribosomal RNA", at positions 556 to 1430 of the family's 1533-position model. Lineage: Bacteria; Bacillati; Actinomycetota; Actinomycetes; Micrococcales; Microbacteriaceae. The record is from RNAcentral.